GCCAGACUCCUACGGGAGGCAGCAGUGGGGGAUAUUGCACAAUGGGGGGAACCCUGAUGCAGCGACGCCGCGUGGGUGAAGGAGCGUUUCGGCGCGUAAAGCCCUAUCAGCAGGGAAGAAGAAAUGACGGUACCUGAGUAAGAAGCACCGGCUAACUCCGUGCCAGCAGCCGCGGGAAUACGGAGGGUGCAAGCGUUACUCGGAAUCACUGGGCGUAAAGAGCGCGUAGGCGGGAUAGCAAGUCAGAUGUGAAAUGCCGGGGCUUAACCCCGGAACUGCUUUGGAAACUGAGCAGCUAGAGUGCAGGAGAGGUAAGUGGAAUUCCUAGUGUAGCGGUGAAAUGCGUAGAUAUUAGGAGGAACACCAGUGGCGAAGGCGGCUUACUGGACUGUAACUGACGUUGAGGCUCGAAAGCGUGGGGAGCAAACAGGAUUAGAUACCCCCGUA
This 447-nucleotide ribosomal RNA is filed under the name uncultured bacterium. RNAcentral's name for it is "partial 16S ribosomal RNA". It matches the Rfam family "Bacterial small subunit ribosomal RNA", at positions 330 to 792 of the family's 1533-position model. The record is from RNAcentral.